Molecule: long non-coding RNA, 2558 nt
Filed under: Capra hircus (goat)
Lineage: Eukaryota; Metazoa; Chordata; Mammalia; Artiodactyla; Bovidae
Description: lncRNA (ENSCHIG00010020491.1)
Source: RNAcentral
AUGAAUAUGGCCCCCAGUGUCUCUAUAGCUGACUACAUUUUAAGAUGGCAUAAUGUGUUCAGGGACACACUGAUUUUGACAACUGUUUUAGAUGAGUUUAGGGGAUUGGUCUAUGGUCAAUAUAGUUUGGAAAAUGUAGUGAAGAAAAACUAUUUUUUAAACAGGCAUUUUCAAGAAUGUUACCAUGUGUAUAUAUACUGUAAAUUUAUAAGAGAUAUUUUGAGGUGCCACCUAGUGAUAUUAAUGUUUCAAGAAACAUGCUUUGGUAAACAGUGCUUUAGUGGGUCCUAUCUUUUUUAACCAACAUUGGAUUACAAAAGAAAAUGAAGGUUUGAUUGACAGGUUUAUUGGGAAACUACCCCACCAACCACAAUAAUAAAAAAUGUCAGGACCAAAAAUGAUGUUGUCCAAAUACACUGGGAGAAUAAUUGAUUCACUUUAAUAGAAUGUAUUUGCCUCAGAAAUAUAGUAGAUAAAACAUAUGAUGUUUUCUUUUUUCCUCAGAAGUCUACAGUGAUGUAAUUAAGCUGGAUAAAUUAAAAAUCCUAUUCCAAGAGUUNNNNNNNNNNNNNNNNNNUAAAAAAGAGGAGGGAAGAUCAUAAAUUAUUUGCAGAGCUGCCCUCCUAACCUUCAGAGCAGCCAAACGUUUUCUUUGGCUACUCUUCAGGGCUCUGGAUCCUAUCUUCUUUAUGCCCCUCCGUCUUGCUUUCUCAUGACUGCCUUUCAUCAGUCAUUCAAUGGCAUUCAAUUUGUCAGCUGUAAGGUUGGGAAACAAUUCCUAUAAAAUUAAUUUUUCAAAUUAUAUUGAGGACAGUGUGGUCCUCUGGCUGUCAUUCAUAUAGUUUUAACUGUGAUCACUAAUUUUAGUGCCAAAGAAGGAGUGUUUAAUGUUUGAAGAACUUCUGAUCCCUGAAAAUGGUUGACAGAGACAGCAGUUUCCCUGCUCAAGCCAUGCCAAGAGGCUCAUUAGGCUGGCCUUGAUCUACAGCCAGCUUAUGGUCAUGGCAGAAUUUCCUGCACUGAUGCUAAGGGUCCAGUGAUGACUUAAACUUGGGGUGAAGAGAUGUAAUCUUUACUCAGUGAGAAUUCUAAUUUCCUGAUAAAUUACCUAUGGGACAAAGGCUGCCAUUGUGACACAAUGAAAGGCUUAUUGUGUAGGUAGAUUCUUGCCGGAUGACUUCUGUCAUAUACUGCAGGGAAGCUCCUUUUCGUUGCCACAUGCUACCUUUUUUUCCUUUCAGGGGUUUUGUUUCUAGAAUGUUCAUCAUGUGAUUUACGGGAACUGAUGAUUAGGACAAACUGAUCCUCAAUAAAGGUCACAGCCCUUUGCUAUAUGCACUUACCUUUAUAUGUAAGAUAAAUUAUACUUGAUAAACUGAAAGUCUCUGAGCUUGGUUUUCCCAAAACACAUUGUGUGUGUGUGCGUUUGUAUGUGCGUGUGUGCAUGUGUGUGCGUGUGUGUGUGUGUGUGUGUGUGUGUGUGUGUNNNNNNNNNNNNNNNNNNNNNNNNNNNNNNNNCGUUAUAUUCUUGUGAUACUCCAGGGGAUCUUGGGCGGCCUUGGCUGGCAACGAACGGCUUGAAGCAGGGCUUGGGUCCCUAGCCAGAGACUGAGGCCAGCUCACAACAGUGAAAGUGCCAAAUCUUAGCCACUAGACAGUGACAAGGUCAGUGACAAGGGCCCUGGCACUUCAGGUUUGCAGAAAAGAAUUUCCAUAAAGACACAAAGUAGUGAAGCAAGUAAAAAGUAUUUAUUAAGAGGAAAAAAAGGACAGUACCAGUGGAUAGACACACUGGGGGACUCAGAGAGUGAGAGAGUUGCUGAGUCGUGCCCUCAUUGCAGUUUGAAUUACUUUUAUGGAGCACUUCUUCUGAGUUUCCUUUGGUCAAUCAUUUUGAUUUGCCUGGUUCACAGUCUAUAUUUGGUAUAUCUCAGGAUCCUCACUUGUGUGCACACGCAUCUCUUAGCCAAGAUGGAUUCUACUGAAAAGGCUUACAGGUAGGAUAUUUCUUGGCUUCACUCCCCAUUUGACAUCCAAGGAGCCUUUCUGAACAUGUGUGGCCAGGGAGGUCUCCUGACUUUGAGAAUAAGAAAUAUGCAGUCUGGGCUGGGCCCAGCCUUUCUUAAUUGUCCUGCUAUUCCCAUCUUGGAGUUUCAGUCCACAAGGAAUGAAUCUCCAAUCACUUUACCCUGAAGGGCACAGCCACCUCCGUCUCACAGGAACUUAAAAUCUCUUCAAGAAGGAAACAGAAAUACAAAUUAUUUAUUUUACUAGAGGGUAAAUUAUAAGAGGAUGCAUUAAAAAAAGUGGGGAAAAAGCAGUGGAAGAGAGUCAAAUGGUAAGUGAUGCAUUCUGUUUGGAGAAAUAGGAGAAAAUUUUUCAGGCAGGUCAUAAUAUUGGAUUUGGACCUUGAGAGAUAAAUUGGAUUUAAACAGUGAAACAGAGGAAUGGAUAUUCCAUGAGGAGAGAGCAUAAUAAGCAAAGGCACAGUUGUGUGUGACAUCCAGUGGUGGGAAAUGAUGGUGGCCUAGUGUGCCAGUGGAGAAUGCAAGAGAGGC